CUUCACCGGAGGCAGCGUGGCGCAAAGAAGAGCAUGGCUUCUGGGGCCGAUGACGUUCUCACUCUAUGACCUUGACCACUCUAUGACCUUGACCACGUGUCGAAGCAGCUCUGAGCCAGCUUCUUCCCAUGUGAGCGGAGGGUAUUUGUUGCGAGGAUUAGCUAAGCUAACACGGCUACAGCGCUCGGGGCCACACCAGGCACGUUGGCCAGCCAAAAACCUUCGGACUGAGCUCUGGGGAGCACAGAGGAGUCACAGCUACACACACCUUCCAGGAGGACCAGGAAGAAGGGCCCCAGGCCAUGUGCAUAAUCAAAGGGGCCAGGGGAUGAAGCCAAUCCAAGGAAGGAAGAGAUGGGCCAGACCUGCGGCCAGAAGGAAGCCAGCUCCCACACCUGGGGCCAUCAAGCCAUCUCCAGCCCUCGCCCAGAAGGCUUUUGUAAAAGGCCUGGUGGGAAGGAAGCUUCAACUAAUCCAACUGAUUCAAACCUAACAACACCAGCUACGCACAAGGCCCUGUGCUGAGCCAGACGAUGCCACGGUGAGCUGUGGCCUGGGAAGGUGAGUUCUGACCACGGGAAAGGAACUUUUGUGGCCAAAGUGCGAUCCCACGGGGGCUAGGAAGAUGGAGAAAUCACGGGUGCUUGGAGGGAGGGUCUGGGAAAGGAAGAGGUGGCAUUUUACCCCAGGCCAUCAAGUCAGGGCUGGCUUCAACAGUCAGGUCAGGGAGGAAGGCCUCCCAGACAGAGGGAAGAGCGUGAGCCAGAGCAAGGAGGCAGGAUGUUGAGAAGCCUCUAAGGGCUGGGGCCGGGAAGCUCCUGGGGGAGGCUCUGCCAGGGCCUGGGGCAGAGAGUGCCCUUGCUGGGGUGGGGAACCGCAGGGAGGAAACAGAUGGCAGCCCAGCCCUGGGGCCAGUGUGGAAGGGGACAGUGGGAGGGGGGGAGUGGAGGAAGAAGACAGAGGAGCCAGAGGCCACUGGGAUUUUAACCUGCAGGGGGAUGGGAAGAAUGACUGGAACCAAUUAUUCAAAACUCUGCAGGGCUUAGCAAUGUGCUCAAUAAUACACAGCAAUACAUAAUUCAGUGUGUGCUCAGUAAAUGCCAUCACCAUCCUGCCAGGGGCUGAGGCCAAAAUCUCAGUCAUCCUCAAACCCUCUCCAGGACAUGCAGACCUUCAGUAAGCUGCAUUGCUCUCCCUCCCGAAUACCCCUGCACCCCACCACCACGCCCCUCUCCUCCCAAUGCUCCCCAUUCCCCUACCUGGAAGGCUCUGUCCCCACAUCUUCCUGUGGCCACCUCCUGCGCCUCAAGUCACCUCCUCCAAGAAGCUUCCCCUGACCACCAGUCCCCUUCCCAGUCACUCAUGUUGCCCCAUUUUUUUUUUUAAUUGAUGUCUGUCUGAACACUCGCUUCCCCCACCCAACCUCUCUUGGCUUGUCCAUAUCUAUAUCCCCAACCUUUGGAACAGUGUCAAGCACAGAAUAUGUACUCAAUAAAUAUUUGUUGAACUGCCCAUAAUGCCACUGUAGGAAUGCAGGGUCUCCUGGUCACUGUAUUCCCAGACGUGAUAUUUGCUGCCUGGAGCUGCUGUUUCCAGGAGAUGCACCCCGAGACUAGGUCAGACAAGGGCAGUCACUGCCAGUGCCUAGGGAGCCUUCCAUAUGGAUGGGGGCCAUCUGGAUAAGGCUGUCAGCAAGUGGUGGCCCCAUCAGAGAGAGAGAGAAAGGGAGAAGGAAGUCACAGCCCUAUAGGCAGACACUUCUCUGCAGCCCAAAGUCUGGAGGGGGUUUGCGGCACGCAGACUGAUGUAAUUUCCUCAGCACCAACUGCUGUGGGAAACCUAACAGGUUACCUUCCUCGUCCCUGGGGACAGCAGGGCACACCAGCAGACACGGACGCCUGGCACCUUUCCCAUGGUCCGGUCAGGCCUGCAGCUGCCGGGUACAGGUUGGCCUAGCCGGGGAUCCCUCACACAACACUGAGGCGGGGCUUUGAACCAAACCCAUCUGCGGCCUCUGUCAGCCCCACCCAUUUCCUUGGCCUUGAACUGCUCUGCCUCCCUUCCCGGUGAGGUCCUACCCCGCGCCUCUCCACGAACCGGUCUCUUUGGAUCCUGACAAUAGGAUACAAAUAUAGGCCAUUUGACAGACCAAAAACUGAGGCCAGGCCACACGGGUAGUGCCAAAGGCACACCUAGAACCCAGGUCUUUGCCUGUUGGCCCGGGGCUAUUCCUGCUAGUCAUUCACAACAGUUUCUAAAAUUAAUAAGAAAUGAGAAGUAUGUGUGUGUCCAUACAUGGAAACGUCCCUGUGAAAUGCGAAACGAACACGGCACAACCGGAGAAAACAGGGCCACGCUCGUAGUUGGUGGUGUCUGCGCCCCCACACCCCUGCCCCUGAGCUCCUCAAGGGCAGGGGCAUUGCCUCGUUGACCUCCGUCACCCAGGACACCCGGCACGGGGCCGGAACGGCGCGCGCGCCCCACACUUGGCUCCAGCACCGC
Ailuropoda melanoleuca (giant panda) is the source of this 2502-nucleotide long non-coding RNA. RefSeq lists it as uncharacterized. The transcript has 3 exons. The record is from RefSeq and is a predicted model, not a curated record. Lineage: Eukaryota; Metazoa; Chordata; Mammalia; Carnivora; Ursidae.